Molecule: ribosomal RNA, 465 nt
Filed under: Vreelandella stevensii
Lineage: Bacteria; Pseudomonadati; Pseudomonadota; Gammaproteobacteria; Oceanospirillales; Halomonadaceae
Description: partial 16S ribosomal RNA
Rfam family: Bacterial small subunit ribosomal RNA
Source: RNAcentral
CCUACGGGAGGCUGCAGUGGGGAAUAUUGGACAAUGGGGGGAACCCUGAUCCAGCCAUGCCGCGUGUGUGAAGAAGGCCCUCGGGUUGUAAAGCACUUUCAGUGAGGAAGAACGCCUGGUGGUUAAUACCCAUCAGGAAAGACAUCACUCACAGAAGAAGCACCGGCUAACUCCGUGCCAGCAGCCGCGGUAAUACGGAGGGUGCGAGCGUUAAUCGGAAUUACUGGGCGUAAAGCGCGCGUAGGUGGCUUGAUAAGCCGGUUGUGAAAGCCCCGGGCUCAACCUGGGAACGGCAUCCGGAACUGUCAAGCUAGAGUGCAGGAGAGGAAGGUAGAAUUCCCGGUGUAGCGGUGAAAUGCGUAGAGAUCGGGAGGAAUACCAGUGGCGAAGGCGGCCUUCUGGACUGACACUGACACUGAGUUGCGAAAGCGUGGGUAGCAAACAGGAUUAGAUACCCUAGUAGUC